This 428-nucleotide long non-coding RNA is filed under the name Fukomys damarensis (Damara mole-rat). RNAcentral describes it as "lncRNA (ENSFDAG00000024942.1)". Lineage: Eukaryota; Metazoa; Chordata; Mammalia; Rodentia; Bathyergidae. The record is from RNAcentral.
CACAAUAUGAGUUUGAUUCCCAAAUGCAAAUGGCUUCCACCUCCUCCACCGAUGAAGCAAUAACAAUGGCGCUGCCAAAAUGACUGGGACACCUAAGGAGAGCUCUGAGUGAUUCACGCAAGUUCACAAAAAGGGGCUCUAGAUCACAGGCUGUGCUGAUGUUGUAAGGGACACACGAAGGACAGAUGUGACCAGUGUUCCUGACAAACCCACAACCUGCCUCGGAGGAGGAAGUCAUAAAUCUUGCCUAAUAUCUCAGACAAAACAGAGCAAGUCUCAAAGACGGAAUGACUAAGGGUUAAGAUGGAGGAGGUGAGAACAACUGAACUUUUAAUGUGGGAGAUAAGUGCUAGUAUGCUCUGUGUGUAGAGGCUGAAAUCACUUAGGAAAAUAACUGGCUACAAAUCUACAAAGUAAUUCUGCCCAAG